RNAcentral lists this long non-coding RNA (1710 nucleotides) under Amborella trichopoda. RNAcentral describes it as "long non-coding RNA (ATRI_LNC000010)". Lineage: Eukaryota; Viridiplantae; Streptophyta; Magnoliopsida; Amborellales; Amborellaceae. The record is from RNAcentral.
UAAAAAAGCGGGGGUCGUCGGGAGAGCGGGGUGGGUUUGAUAAAAAAAAUUGAUCACGUAAGGCCUUUCCAGUAUCUAUAGAAUGAGCACUGUGAACUAUCUGCUUCAAAAAGAUAGUUAUAGUUAAGUCAACCUCGAUCUUGUACUAAGGUACACUGAACACCAACCCAAUCUCGACGAAAAAAAGAAAACGACAAGAAGUACUUAUUCACCGACAAAAGAAAACAUUGAAGCCUCUGAAGCGUCUAUAAGCUGUUUAGAACCCGUUUUUCCUCCCUAACCGAUCGCACUUUCUCAGAGCCAAGAUGGUCAGUCUCUUAUAUAAGAUGCACGGGCCCAUUACGGGUUGACCAAGAGAGACUGCCAUGCGCAUACUCGCGAUAGAGGCGCCACACGUUUAGCAAGCUUCAUUCAGAUAGGAAAGGCUGCUGUUCUUUCUUAAGUAAGCUUCAGACCAUAGUUCAAGGCGGGUGCGGCAUCUUGGCUAACCUCUCUGAAGCAGCAGCCUUCUCUGGCAUCUCAAAACUUGUCUAAGGCAUGGAGUUGUCAGACAAAGAACCUCUUCUGAAGCAGCUGUCUCUGAAGCGAAUCCUAAUACGUAAACAAGCAGUAGGAGUAGGGUUUUAGUUAGAAGAACUUGCUUCUAAGCAUCUCAAGCUACCGCCCCUUUGAAUCUCAAGAAUUUCGCUUGAUCGCCUUGUACUGAGGCCCAUACCUUAGCUUAGAUCGAUCCCAUUCCCCUUAUAGCGUUGAGCCUUGAGCCCAUACCGAUUGAGUAUUGAGCACUGAUCUCGACGAUGCAUUCUAUCUAUGCUCGAAGACCUGUCAACUUCGAAACCAGUAUAGUCGUAUCCAAAACUUGAUUCUAUCAGUCGGCUCUUGCCCGAAAUCAAACUUCUUUCUUGCCAAUUCGUAAGUGCUCUAAGUCUGUUGUUGACUAACGGGGAAUCUAUUAGUCUUUUUUAGGAAGCUAAAGUGCUUACCUCUUUUCCUAUCGUCUGGUACAAGUCCUCGUUUUAUUGGUACAUCUUUUAUCUCCCCAUCUUCCCCUAAGUUCAGAAACAUCCAAUUAGAGAGGGCUGUAGAUCCAGUUACUUAGGAGAGCCUUCCACGCGUAAAUCCGAUCCUAUCCUGCCCUCUAGCUCCCUUCUCCCACUGAAAAGAACGCAGUAGCGAGUGAAAUAGAGGUUAAUAGUGGCGGGUGGAAGUAUUAUGCAUAGAGGUAUACAGGAGUGAUCUACUAACUAAUAUCGCCUAGCUAUGCCGGUAACUAGCUCUAGCCAGGAGCUGCUAAUCGGUAAUAGCAGUAAUUUCGGUAUAAUGACGAGAAUAAGUGAACGAGGAGUGUCUUGAAACCCUGUUAUUGCUAAACGUGGUACUUCCCUAAAGUAGAUACAGCAAGUGGAUCAAGCAAAGCUAGUGAUAUCUCGGGUCGGUCUGGUCUAAUCGAAGUCAACUGACUCACAUGGAAUACGGGGUGAGUUUUCACCGAGCUGGUCGCUUGAGUCUAUAUAUAGGCUACCUCUCCUAUCCGCUUCUCUACAAGGUCUACUUUCUUCUUUCUUUAGACCGGGCCAAGCCUUUAGGCUGUUUAAGUAGGUUGGGCUAGGUCGUUGUGCUCCUGCCACCUUUUGGCAAAGUAGGCGGAUUUUCCUCCUGUCGCAAUGGUGUGGGGCGUCAGAGGCUGUUGCCCCGUGGCCAACUCGAAGG